Long non-coding RNA from Equus quagga, 10161 nucleotides. RefSeq lists it as uncharacterized. The record is from RefSeq and is a predicted model, not a curated record. The transcript has 4 exons. Lineage: Eukaryota; Metazoa; Chordata; Mammalia; Perissodactyla; Equidae.
UUUAUACACAAGGAAACUGAGGCACGGCAGGGCGCUGCAAUAGAGCCGGAGUCACUCAGCCGGGGUCAGCAGAGCUGGGCCUCCAACCCGCUCGGUCUGGGGCCCAAUCCGGCUCCCUCAGCCACGGUACCUCCCCUGCAGGAGCCAAGUGACCCCGUCAAAGGACAUACCAGUUCAUGGCACAGGUGUCACCAAGCACAUGCCGUAUGACAAGGACUGGGCAGGAAGGAAGGACGCGGCCCUGCGCUGGCACAGCACAGGGGCCCGCAGAGCAAGAGCUUGCUGAACGGGUGACAGUGACGACCCUCACCCGCUGUGGGGACACUGGGGGCCCUUAGGGGCAGAGGUGGGAGAGCAGGGGAGGACAGGGGCUGCCCUCCUGAGCGCGGGUCAGCACGGGGCCCAGGAGCUUCCUCGGUCCUCCGGGGGGCACUCACCAUCGAUUGCCACAGCUAACGUUGCCGGGUUCCCCCUGGGUGCGGGGCCCUGGGAUAGGCACGCAGACCUAGUCUUCACAACGGCCCCGGGGGGUAGUGGCUGGACUUGCGUCCCCCUAGAAGUUAUGUCCAAGUCCUAACUCUGGAUACCCGUGAAUGUGACCUUAUUUGGAAAAAGGGUCUUUGCCGAAGAAAUAAAGUUAAGGAUCUUGAGAGGCAAUCCCCCUGGAUGAGGGUGGGCCCUGAAUGCACCGACAGGUGUCCUUACAGAGACGGAUGAGAGACACGCAGAGCAGAGCAGAGCAGAGGCCACGUGACGGCGGAGGCCGAGGUGGGAGCGGUGCUGCCAGGAGCCCCCAGGAGCUGGAAAAGCCGAGGAAGGGUCCUUCCGAGAGCCUCCGGAGGGAGCGUGGCCCUGCCGACCCCUUGACGCCAGACUUCUGGCCUCCAGAACGGCGACAGAAUAAACUUCUGUUGUUCUGAGCCACCAGCUUAUGGUCACUGGUCGUGGCAGCGACAGAAACUAGUACAGGCAGGUCCCGUCUCCUUACUCUCCGGAUGCGGCCCAGAGAGGCCUGGCCCGAGGAGCCCGAGGCAAGUGGGCAGGAGACUCCCUGCUUUGACCUUGGCCCCCCGACCCCCGCCCUGCCCCGGUCUAUUCUCAACACAGCAGCCAGGGAGAUCCUUCUACAAAGUAAGUCAGACCUUGACGCUCUGCUCACAACUCCCAGUGCCUCCCGUCUUACCCAGAGUGAAAUCUAGAGUUUCUAUGACCACAGGCCCUUUCCAAUCCAGUGUGCUCCCAUCUCUCCACCUUCAGCUCUUCCCCUCCCAGGGCUGACUGGUCUGCACCACCUUGGUCUCCUUGUUUGCAUAACCACCUCAUCCACUUCUACCUCAGGGCCUUUGCACCAACUGUUCACUGUCCUCUUGCCCCAAGUAGCCCUCUCGCCCUGCCUUCUCUUCUUAUAGCUCCUGCUCAAGUGACUCUACCUGUGAGGCCUUCAUGUAAAAUGCCCCCACCCCCACAGACACUUGCUUCCUAGUCCUAUCCCGGCUUUUGAAAAAUAAUUUUUUAUUAAAAAACUUUAUUUUUUUAGAGCAGUUUUAAGUUCACGGAAAACUGAGCAGAAGGUGCAGAGCUCUCCAGCAUACUCUCUGCCCACACUCAUGCGUAGCCUCCUCCAUUAUUGUUGGCACCAGACUGCACCUUUGUUACAACUGAUGAACCGACACUGACGGGUCAUGAUCACCCCAGGCCCAUCAUUUACACCGGGGUUUGCGCUCGGUGUUGUUCCACAGAAUUAUGGGUUUGGAUAAACAUAUAAAGACCUGUAUCCACCACUGCAGCGUCGCCCAGAAUAGUCCCCCUGCCCUGACAGCCCCUGCGCCCCACCUGUUCCUCUCCCCCUCCCCGCACCCCCAGCAACCCGAUCCGAUCCUUUCACUGUCUCCGUAGCUCGGCCUUUUCCAGAGUCUCAUAUGGGUGGAAUCACACAGUGUGUGGCCUUCUCAGACUGGCUUCUUUCCUUAGUAACGUGCAUUUGAGGCUCCUCCACAUCUUUUCCCAGCUUGAGAGCUCCUUUCUUUCAAGUGCUGAAUGACACAACGUUGUGGGCAGGUUCCCCCUCCUGAAGGACACCCUGGGGGCAGCUUCUGCCGCUACGAACACAGCUGCUAUAAACACAUGUGCGCACGCCCCUGCUUUUCCCUUCCCGGAUCUCUUCCUUUCCACUCGCUGAGACACACGUCUCCCUCCGUGAUGGAUGCCUCACGUCCCCGAGGACAGAAGGCACCCCCCUCCACCUGCCAAGAGCCACAUCUGUAGCAACUGCUCAGAAACCAAGUGUGACAACCGGCUAAGUCCCCCUCCCUUCCCGGCAUGUGACUUGUGAAUCUUUCUGGUUCUGGGGCCACCGGGGAAACCGUCCAGGGAAACUGGCUCAGGGGCUCGCUCACUCACAGGGAGAGCAGAACAGCUCCCACUUCCAGCGGGAAACUCGAGCGCUCACGCGUCUUUUCACAACGGGAACAGCCUACGAGCCGGCCCGGGGCUGCGCGUCCUCUCUGUCCCCGAGUGCACUGGUGUGCGGAGCACGGAGCACCGGGUGGAGAGACUCGAGCCUGAGUCACGGGCUGAAGCCCCAAGACCCUUGCUUCAGGUCCUCCAUCAGGUGACCUUGAGGGGGGUACCGAGGAGGGGAGGGGGCCCGGCAUUUGCCCACCACUCUCCGGCACGGGCACGUCCUCAGCAUCGUCCUCCGGAGAAAUGGGGCCCUACGCCCAGUGCAGGGAUGACGCUCAGACAGGCAGAGUAACUCACGCCGGCCGCACCACCAAAAGUUUCAGAGCAACAUGGACCCUGGGCCCCAAAGCCAAGCUCCUUCACCACCCCCAUCCCGCCUCUUUCCUUCCUUCCUUCCUUCACUCACUCACUCAUUCAAGGAGUGUUCAUUGAGAGGGGAUCACGUCCCAGGCACUGCUGGGGUCCUAGGGUACAGUGGGACAUGAACUCACCCACUCUCCUGGAGCUGGCUUUCCUGUGUGCAUGGGAAAGAUGGAGGACAAUAAACACCCGAACGAUUGACUGUACAAUGUAUAAAGGUGGCCAAAAGUGCGUGGGAGGAACAGGAAGCUUUGUAGGGGGGCUGGGUGGGGGUGAUUAUGGCGUGGGCAUGGUAUUUAGAUGUGGGGGGACAGAAAAAGCUUCUCUGACAAGGUAACAUUUGGGCAGAUACUUGAAGGAAGUGAAGGAGGGAGCGAUGCAGACAUCUAGGGAAAGAGCAUUCCAGCCCGAGGAAACAGGCAGUGCAAAGGCCCUGGGGUGGGAAUGAGCUUGGUAUGCUGGAGGACAGCAAGGAGGCCAAGUGGUGGAGAGAGAAGCAAGGGUGUGGGGCUGAAGCCAUUGCGGGGGAGGGGCUUUGAAUUCUCUUCCCAGUGACACUGGAAGCCCUCGGAAGGGUUGUGAACAGAGAAUUGACACCCUCUGACUUGGAUUUUGAAAUGAGUUCUGACUGCUGGAUUGGGGGUUUGGAACGGGGGUGGGAACCACACCAGUGGAGGGGGGCCAGCUAGGAGCUGCUGUACACACAGGUGACAGGUGCCACAGGUGGCCGGGGCUGGGGUGCUCUGCGGUAGAGGUGACGAAGAGGAGGCCUCCGCGGGGCUGCAGGUUGGGCUGCCAGAGGAAGGGGGGUCCCAGGACGACCCCAAACGGUUCAGCCUGAGAAAAUGCAAGAAGGGGGCGCCACGCAGGAGCCCCUGCGCCUCCCUCUCCGGGAGGCGGGGGUCGGCUUUGGCAAGUCCUGGGUAUGGAGGAAGAGAAAGGUCCCGACUUGGAUCCCCAGGUCCCUUCAGCUUCCAGAACACUCAGCUUAAGCAGAGGGAGGAGGAGGGGCGGCGAGGAAGCAGUUCCAGGUGGCAGGGCCGCCUCCCCAGGAACAGGGUGCCCGGACGCGGCCAAGCAGGCCAGCUACCCACCAGCGCCGCUGGUAAACACACGGUUUCCAACAACAAAGCGGCCGAGGGUGGGUGCGGGGGUGGCGGGAGGAGCCGCGGGGACACCUCGGCGGGGCUGGCGGGAGGCUCCGGGAAGUCCUUCUGAAAUGGCCCCAGGGCCAGGCGGAGGGGGCGGCCCGCGGGGGUCCCGGGAGGGCGUGGGGCGGGGCUGGGCUGCGGUCCUGGGUGGGGCUUGGGCUGCGAUCCCACUUGGCGGACGGGAAAGGGGUGGAAAGGGUAGAGGAAGGGGGUGGGUGGGAGGUGGGGGGGGAGGGGCUGGGUCGGGGCGCGGAUGGGGGGGCGCGAUUGGGGAGGAGGUUGGGGCUUGGGGUUGGGGCGCCGAUGGGGGCUUGAGGUUGGGGCUUCGGAUGGGGAAAAGACGGGGAGGGGCCGGGCUGGGGUCCCGGACGCGGAUGGGGGCGUGGGGACGGGGUCCCCCUCCCGCGGCGGGGACCGCCCGCUUCCUCCCCUGGGCGAGCGGGCGGUAAACAAACGCCGUGAUGUCACGGGCGCCGCUGACCUGCGGCUGAACCCGGAGCUGUAAAUGAGAUGCAAGGUGCCAGCAGCCUGCAGGCCCGGCCGCGCCGCACGCUCCUGCGCGCCGGCCUGAGCUUACCCCAGCUGCGCGCGCGGACAGGAUGCUGCCGACGCCACCAGACAUUGCAACACGCAGCCAGUCUGCUGGCCGCCGCGUGAACCGGCCCGCCGCCCUCCGCCGCGCCCCCUGGCAGGCCCCGGCCCAGCUGCAGCGCCGCCUCCCUCCUCCGGAGCAUCCCUGGGGCCGGCGGCUUCCACCCAUCUGGGGGCGGCCGCUCCGCGAGGGACCCCAUCCUCUGCCUCCCCGGGGGGCCUCCAAACCCAGGGCCCGGCCUCCUCCGGGGUCAGCCUUGGGCUUCCCGCCCGACCCACUGGGGAGGUGCCCGCCUCUGCGCUCGGCUUUCUGGGAAGCUCGCUCCUCUGGGGCGCGCGCAGGAGGCCUUCCUCCAGGUGUACGCAGAGGCCAAAGUGUCCUGACGGCUGCCCACCAGCCGCUCCCCCUCUCCACCAAGCAGGGGGCCGCGGUUUGCUCCAGAGAGCUCCGGGAGCGGCCCUGGACUGCACAGCCUUGGCAGCUCCCGGGCCUGAGCUGCCCUUUGGAAUGGAAAGCCGCCUGGCUGGGGCCCGGCAGGCCGGCACUCUGCUCUGGAGUUGAUUUGCUGUGUGACUUUUGGAUGAGUCAUUGGCGUCUCUGGGCUUCACCAUCUCCGUCUGGGGAAUUGAGAAUCGAAACUGGCCUCCCUCUGCUCACCGUGGGGAAGGUCAAAAGUGCAAGAAACCCUCCCCGGACGCGGGGGCGGGGGGGGGCAUGAGGCCUCAGGUUCAGGGCGUGCUGCCGGCCGUGGGAACUGGAGCUGCUCAGAGAGAGCCAGGCAGCCGCCCUCCUCACCCACCUGCCCCCAAACUCAGCCUUCUGGGUUUAGUUCGAGAAGCCAGGGCUGCGGGGGGAUGGUUAACUAGUCCCCUGGGCGCAAGGAGCCCCCUCACUGGCUCCCCUACUUGGACUCCACUUACUGAAGUCCUUGUGGGGGUUGAGGGAACCUGGAAAUGACCUCAGAGCUUUGAAAAGCACCCCAGGACGGCAGCGAGGCCCAGCCUCACACCAGAGCCCGGCCAGCGCCCCUCGAUGAAGUUCGUCUUUCACGCCCUCUCCCUUCACAGCACCCGCUGUGUCAUCUAUAUAGCACUUUGUCACUAUCUGAAGUUUUAACAGUGAUUUUCCACUUGUUUCCCCGUCGCCAACACACACCCUCUGGAACCAAGGUGCUCAUGGUGAACCCCUAGCUUGGGAAUCAGGUGGCUGUGAAUAUGUGAACGAAUGAAUGACGACGUCAUUUUGCCGCCCCUGUGAGGUGGGCGACAACGUCCUUGAGGGGACCUUGGGAGGGAUGAAGAUGACAGCCGGUGCGGGGUGGCUCUCACGAGGACCGGCCACAUAAUUUGCCAGGCCCUGUGCAUCACGAAAAUUUGGGGCCCCGUGUUCAAAAAUUGCUGACAACUUCAAGACAGCCACAGCGGGGCGUUAGUGCUGGGCCCUUCUAAGCGUGGGGUCCCGUGGGGCUGCCCAGGUCACACACCCGGGGAGCUGGCCAGGGCAAUACCCAGGGGGCCGGAAUGCCAAGUCACGGGCCUUCUGCCCCUGCCCUGGGCAGCAGGAAAUCUGGCUCCGACAGAGCCACUCCGUGACGCAGAGCGGACACCGCCUUCUGGACAGACAGCUGACAACGGCCAGCUGACCCAGAGCUGCCCGCACACGUGCGACGUGAGAGCAGUCGGCCUGGAGUGGAUCAGACUGAGGGGCGGCAGCAACCAUGUGACAUCGCCCUCGCCAGUGUUCACUCAGGAGCUGCUCUAAGAGCUACAGUGAGGCCACACGCACGCAACCCCUUAGCUUCGGUCCCCAAAUCCAAAAAGCUCUAAAUUCCUUCUCCUUAAUUUUGACCCGUACAUUUAGGCAAGUCCUCAAGGGGCUGUGGGCUUGAGCUAUUGGCCCAUUUUAGAGACGAGGCCCUGAGGUCCUGGAAACGUCAAGGGCGUGGGCAGGAAGCAGCUGAGCUGGGCCCCCAACCCUGGCAGCCCUUCUGGGAGCUGCUGCCGGAGGAGAGACCGGAGCUGCUGUUUUGGGAAAGAAGAGACAGACUUUGCAUCAGGGUGACACCUUCAGUGUCCCCUUGCUACCCCAGCCUGAAAGUCGAGGUCCCUGAGCUGGCGGGCCCAGUAACACACGGCUGCCGUGUCCCCAGGAGACCUUCAGCUAAUUAAGCGUUAUUUAUGGACUGGCCUCCGAGGACAAGCUUUAAAUUACUUGCAAGCUGUGCCAAGGUAACUCUCCAUCCCACAGGCUAUUAAUUAGGAGUCGGUUUCAUCUCUGCUGGACGAAGGUCAAAUGCCACGGAGUUGACCCUUCCGGCCGGCUGGCGUCAGGCUAUCAGGCUGGUGAUCUGAGCCCAGAGGGCUGGGAGUCCCGGGGACAUGGUGGGACACUGCAGCCGGAAACGGCCUGGGCAGCACAUCCUGCGAAGGCCACGCUGAGCGCAGACUGCGUGGGCCCCGGCCCGGGAAGCAGGGCUGACUGGAGACGGCCCAGCCAGCCGGCCUCAGAUCUCGCUCUGCCUUGCUCUAGUCACCGUGUGAGUCAGCCUGGCUUUGGUCGGAGCUGGGUGACAGCCGGCUGGCCCUCCCCACUCUCCAGUACCAGGUCUGGGAAAACUGGAGGAAGAGGUGCUGGGACUGCCAAAAAGUUAGAGGCAGCCUUGGGGGGAGGGCUCUCCCCACAGUGUCACCUCCCCGCUUAUGCGGAGGGCUCCCCUCUGGGGCCGUCUUUGGGAAGAGGGGGCAGGGCUGAAGGUGAGAACAAGGGCUCUGGUGACCCCUGUGCCCCUCCCUCCAGAUUUCCAAACACCUGGGCCUCCGAGUGCCUGGCAGGCCAGGCUAGACCAGCCACACCGCUCCUCCCUUUUCAAACUCAAACCAAGGAUCCCCUCUCUUCGUGCCUCCGGAGCUGCAGUCGCCCAGGUCGGGGCUGGGAAGCGGGCUGCCAAGGAAAACACGAAGCGCCAGCUCGCAGGCGGCUCCCAGCUCUACGCAGGAGCGCACACACCCUGCACUCACCAGGGUGGCGGCAGAGAGGGGCAGGGAGAGGGGAAAACACACAUCUUCCUUCGGGAGAGAGGAAUGUGGGAGAAGGGUGGGUCUCCUGACUUUCGGGGUAGGGGUGAGCAGCCAGCCAGCCACCGAUCCCAAAGGAGCGGAUAAGCUCCCGACCUGCGGAAAAAGACAGUCGGGUGCCCGGGAAAUGUACAAGGUGAAACCGACCAGCUCAGCCCUCGCGGGUGGCGCAGACAAGUGGGGUGGCCGGCGACUCUCAGACCCCGGGCGCGCGUCCCGGCAGCGGCAGCAGGUCCCGCAGCUUGGCGGGCAGCACCAGUCCGACGGCUGCUUUCGCCACCAGAUAGAUCAUCUGCAGAGGGAACACCACCAGCGCGCCCAGCCAUUUCCACACCAUCCUCCGCGCCGCGGCGCCGGGUAGGGGGAGCGAAACUCCCCGGACCGAACAAAACAGGAAUUGAAAAAGAAAACACCCCAAACAAUAAUAAAUAAACCAAAAGAGGGGGAGAGAGGCGUCCCACCUGGCCACUUUUGAAAUCACCUCUUCCCAAACGCAAAACACCGGGUGAGAAAAAGGAAAAUAAAAAGAAAAAAAGAAAGAUAAAUCCUCCUGGGGAGGAGAAAAAGCGUCUCAGAAGGUUGGGACAGUAAGAGGGGUGGAGGGGAAGCUGGAGGUGGAAAGUUCUAACAAGAAGUUUCUUGCCCCGGCAGCCGUUUCGGCUGGGGAAUUCUCAGGUAAUGUUUACGGGCUGACAGAGGAGUUUAGGCAGGGGAAGGGAAAAAAAAAAAAAAAAAAAGGCACCAACCACACGCGCGCACCCUGCUACAGUCCCGCGGUUUCAAAGUGCAAGAUUAAAAAAAAAACAAAAAAAAAAAGCUGUUUCCAAAUUGUAGCGUCCCCCCCUUCUGUAGGAAAAAAAAAAAAAAAGUAGGGGGAAAAGUGCUUCGAGCUCCCAAUUUCAGCCCGCGAAAGUCUCCCGACUCAUUGCUAUUCUUGGGCUCAGGAAAUUGCUUAAACGCGAUCUGAUUGCCAGCAACGUGCAGGAGAAGUGGGGGGUCCGGGUGUCAGUUUCUUUACGUGCAUGGCUCGCCCUCGCGCGCGCUCGCUCUCUCCGGCUCCCUCCCUCCCUCUCUCCUCCAGCAGAGGCUGGGAGUUGCCGCUCGAUCCGGCUCCCUCUCUCUCCCUUGUUAGCAUUUAUUGCCUUCUUUUUGUCCUUUCCAACUUGGAGAGGGCCCGGGUGCGGAGCGCGCGUGGAUCGGACGCCCUCGUCUGCGCCGCCUUAUUAAUUCGCUCCCGGGGCAGCAGCGGCGCGGAGCGAGAGGGCCGCCCUUUUUUUUCCCCCCCAUUUUUUUUUAAUACCCCAUUAAGUCUGAUUGACAGUUAAAGUUGGUCUGAGGCUUCACUCCUGUUCCUCUGAGUGGCUGCCGCGGUCUCCCCUCCCCCUGCGCUGUCGCGGGGCGCGCGCGCGGGCGCGCACACGGGCUCGCUCCGACUCGCGCUCUCCCAGGGCUGGCUCCCCUCGCUGCAAGCCGGGACUUGCCGGCGGUGUCCCUGAGGGCUCGCAGCCGUAGCUCGAACACGCUGGAACCGACUCCUGCGAACCGGCUCCCUCCUUGAGACAUUCCUCCUUGCCCGGGACGCCGUCUCCCCGGGCUGGGGCGCGCGUGGGCCAGGUGACCGCCCCUGCGUGCAGGGCAGGCCCGGGGGGGGGGGUCGGAGGGGGGCUCGCGCAUGCCUUGAUCCAACCAAGUCGCCCAGGGUUUAUUUCAGGUCAUUUCCCUGCCUCCAGGUAGGACCAGGAAGCCACUCCCGACCUUUGCCCGGACGUCUUCUGUCUCCACUUAGAGUGCACUUUCUAAGUCUGCCCCGAGUCUCUCGCGUUGCUGAGGGAAACAGCUGGGGAGCAGGGUUUCGUUUUGGGGGGGGGUGCGGUCCGGGUAAAGGAACCUCUGCCCCCAGGGUGCCAAUAAAAUCCCCAUAAGAUUAGCUGGGAGCAUAUUUAUUGCUCAUCUGGGCUAGAAUUACCUUGACUGACAGCAAUUUCCUUAAUAACAAAAGCUUGUAAACAAAACGUCCUAAACCAGUGGCCCAUGUGCUGUGCAGGCAGCGACUUCUCUCUUUGGGUCUCCUUGGGCUGCCCCAGCGGGGCACCGGCCUCGUGACCUCCUGCUCUCCCCCAACACGAGUGUCUCCUCGGCUGGAGGGUGGGACCAGCCAUUGCGAGUUGUCUGUAGCAGGAAGUCUGGAAGGGCACUUACUAGGCACCAGGUCCUUUGUUUCACGUGGACUCUCACUUAGCCAUCACAGCCACCUGCUGAGGGGCGCUGUUGCCAUCCCCAUUGAACAGAUGAGAAACGGAGGCCCAGAGAGGAGGAGUAACUUGUCUGAAUCGUGCAGUGUUAAGUGGCGUUGCUGAGACAGAUGGAAUAAUCAGAUCUUCUGGACGUUGUGAAUCUGUAGCCCCAGUCAGGUGCUUGUUGAGUUUAUGCUGGGCAGCCAAAUAUAAAGGAAAGAGCAACAACAAACCCCCCAAAAACAUAUGCACAAUCUUGACAAUAUACUGCGUCAUUAAAAAUUUAG